RNAcentral lists this ribosomal RNA (460 nucleotides) under uncultured bacterium. RNAcentral's name for it is "partial 16S ribosomal RNA". It matches the Rfam family "Bacterial small subunit ribosomal RNA", at positions 338 to 795 of the family's 1533-position model. The record is from RNAcentral.
CCUACGGGUGGCAGCAGUGAGGAAUAUUGGUCAAUGGGCGAGAGCCUGAACCAGCCAAGUCGCGUGAGGGAAGACGGUCCUAUGGAUUGUAAACCUCUUUUGUCGGGGAGCAAAACGGCCUCGUGAGGCCCCAAGUUAGAGUACCCGAGGACAAAGCCUCGGCUAACUCCGUGCCAGCAGCCGCGGUAAUACGGAGGAUGCGAGCGUUAUUCGGAUUUAUGGGGUUAAAAGGGUGCGUAGGCGGACUGGGAAGUCAGCGGUAAAAUCGAGAGGCUCAACCUCUUUCCGCCGUUGAAACUGUCGGUCUUGAGUGGGCGAGAAGUAGGCGGAAUGCGUGGUGUAGCGGUGAAAUGCAUAGAUAUCACGCAGAACUCCGAUUGCGAAGGCAGCAUACCGGCGCCCGACUGACGCUGAGGCACGAAAGCGUGGGUAUCGAACAGGAUUAGAUACCCUUGUAGUC